This 501-nucleotide ribosomal RNA is filed under the name uncultured Glomus. Its description in RNAcentral is "SSU rRNA". It matches the Rfam family "Eukaryotic small subunit ribosomal RNA", at positions 569 to 1076 of the family's 1831-position model. The record is from RNAcentral. Lineage: Eukaryota; Fungi; Glomeromycota; Glomeromycetes; Glomerales; Glomeraceae.
AGCAGCCGCGGUAAUUCCAGCUCCAAUAGCGUAUAUUAAAGUUGUUGCAGUUAAAAAGCUCGUAGUUGAAUUUCGAGACCGGCUUACUGGUCGUGCUUUUGUACGUACUGGUGUAAUCGGUUUCUCCUUUCUGACGAACUAUAAUGCCAUUAAUUUGGUGUUAUAGGGAAUUAGGACUGUUACUUUGAAAAAAUUAGAGUGUUUAAAGCAGGCUCACGCUUGAAUACAUUAGCAUGGAAUAACGGAAUAGGACGUUUGAUUCUAUUUUGUUGGUUUCUAGGAUCGACGUAAUGAUUAAUAGGGAUAGUUGGGGCAUUAGUAUUCAAUUGUCAGAGGUGAAAUUCUUGGAUUUAUUGAGGACUAACUACUGCGAAAGCAUUUGCCAAGGAUGUUUUCAUUAAUCAAGAACGAAGUUAGGGGAUCGAAGACGAUCAGAUACCGUCGUAGUCUUAACCAUAAACUAUGCCGACUAGGGAAUCGGAUGAUGUUAAUUUUUUAAUG